AUGCCCUCUUCGUGCUGCCGCCCCACCGGCCUUGCUCGGCUCUACCGAGUCUCCACGUUGGUUUCGCCACGUUGGAGCAGCUGGGGCACGUCAGGCUGCCCUGGGCAUUUCGCGACUCUCCCUUCCCAGCACUUUAUUUUGGGCGCUCCAAGGAGUUGCAUCGGGUUUCCCCAGGCCGCUCUCCCCGCGGGGCAGAGGGUGCGAGAUGUGGAGCCGUGCUCCUUCCCCCGACGACGACCUCGUUCCAAAGAAGCUUUGACCCACCCUGCCGGAGAGAACGGGGUGGGGGGGAGGCCCUUUAUUACCCGAAGCUUCGGCUGGUGUCGGGGGGUCUUUUGCUCCUUUCGGAGAGGAGUAGGGAGGAGAGCACCAUCCGAAAGAGCGGGUCCCCCUUUUCACUCCAGCUCACCCUCCCCCCCUGUCCCUCAUCGCCCUCUCCUGGCUUUUCUGUCCCCCAUUGAACAGCAACAGGCUGUCGGGGCUGCGGCCCGAAGCCUCCCCGUGGUGGGAUGGGGGUUUAGAGGGUCUUCCCAGUGGUGGGGGCCGGCUCUGUGUCACUCCUACCCCCCCGGCACUGGAGCACCGUCCCAGAGCUGGGGGGCAGAAGGGAUGCGCCUUGUUCCCCCACCUACCCCACUGGGGGCUUGGGAUGGGAGAUGGGGAGAGGGUGCUGGGAGCGGGGUUUUGGGGGGUGGGGGGCAGCUCAGGCUCCUUGCUGUAAACCUGCCGCCUGCAGUGCCGAACGCUCGCAUCCUCCUCCUCCCAUCCGCGGCUGCAGCUCUGCUGCUCCAUCCCAUUAUUGUUAGGGGAGGAUGCGAGCAAAAAACAAAACCCAACCAAAAAGCCAACACACACCCAAGCAAACCACCCAGGCGCUCCCCCCUCCCCCCCCCUCGGCUCUCACACCCCCCCCCUUUCGCUGAUCGGUGGCACUCCCAGGACCGGCUGCGCUUCCUUGGCCCUGGGGAGGGGAGGCAGAGACGGAGAGAGGCGGGGGAGGAGGAGGAGGGGGCCGGGGCCAGGCAGUCACACACAGGGAAAAUCGCUUUUGUCUCCGGCACGGCGAGCGGCGCAGGGGCUCGGUGCUGCGGCUGCCGGAGCCCCCCGCUCCGCUCAGCGCCCGCUCCGCUCCCGCAGCACCGCGGUGGCACCGCGCCGUGGAGCGGGCAGCUCGCCGCCUCUUCUCUUCCUAUUAUUAUUGUCUUUUUCUUUUUUUUUCCUCCUCUCGCUGUCUCUCUCCCCACCUCCUUUUCCGUCCGUGUGAUUUCUGCCUUUUCGGCGUACAGAGGAUCCCCCCCUCCUGCACGCACGCUGCCCCCCGCCCGAGGUUUCUCUGGGUCCAGCCGGAAUCCGCGAAGCUCCAGGGGAUUUUCCCACCCAAGCUGGGGUCUAUGA
This 1395-nucleotide long non-coding RNA is filed under the name Coturnix japonica (Japanese quail). RNAcentral's name for it is "lncRNA (ENSCJPG00005016387.1)". The record is from RNAcentral. Lineage: Eukaryota; Metazoa; Chordata; Aves; Galliformes; Phasianidae.